This 460-nucleotide ribosomal RNA is filed under the name uncultured bacterium. Its description in RNAcentral is "partial 16S ribosomal RNA". It matches the Rfam family "Bacterial small subunit ribosomal RNA", at positions 338 to 795 of the family's 1533-position model. The record is from RNAcentral.
CCUACGGGAGGCAGCAGUGAGGAAUAUUGGUCAAUGGGCGCGAGCCUGAACCAGCCAAGUAGCGUGAAGGAAGACUGUCCUAUGGAUUGUAAACCUCUUUUAUCUGGGAGUAAAAUGCACCACGCGUAGCGUUCCGAGAGUACCUGAAGAAAAAGGAUCGGCUAACUCCGUGCCAGCAGCCGCGGUAAUACGGAGGAUGCGAGCGUUAUCCGGAUUUAUUGGGUUUAAAGGGUGCGUAGGUGGGUUGUUAAGUCAGUUGUGAAAGUUUGCGGCUCAACCGUAAAAUUGCAGUUGAUACUGGCAGUCUUGAGUACAGUAGAGGUGGGCGGAAUUCGUGGUGUAGCGGUGAAAUGCUUAGAUAUCACGAAGAACUCCGAUUGCGAAGGCAGCUUGCUGGACUGCAACUGACACUGAGGCUCGAAAGUGUGGGUAUCAAACAGGAUUAGAUACCCCAGUAGUC